UGUGGAGUACGGCCCACCANGNCGACGACGGGUAGCUGGUCUGAGAGGACUACCAGCCACACUGGAACUGAGACGGUCCAGACUCCUACGGGAGGCAGCAGUGGGGAAUAUUGCACAAUGGGCGAAAGCCUGAUGCAGCGACGCCGCGUGAGGGAUGAAGGCCUUCGGGUCGUAAACCUCUUUCGGCAGGGACGAAGCGAUCAGUGACGGUACCUGCAGAAGAAGCCCCGGCUAACUACGUGCCAGCAGCCGCGGUAAGACGUAGGGGGCGAGCGUUGUCCGGAUUCAUUGGGCGUAAAGCGCGCGUAGGCGGCUGCGCAAGUCGGUUGUGAAAUUCCGGGGCUCAACCCCGGAACUGCGUCCGAUACUGCGUGGCUAGAGGUAGGUAGGGGAGAUCGGAAUUCCUGGUGUAGCGGUGAAAUGCGCAGAUAUCAGGAGGAACACCGGUGGCGAAGGCGGAUCUCUGGGCCUUACCUGACGCUCAGGCGCGAAAGCUAGGGGAGCGAACAGGAUUANAUACCCUGGUAGUCCUAGCCGUAAACGUUGGGUGCUAGGUGUGG
Molecule: ribosomal RNA, 560 nt
Filed under: uncultured Actinomycetes bacterium
Lineage: Bacteria; Bacillati; Actinomycetota; Actinomycetes
Description: bacterial SSU rRNA
Rfam family: Bacterial small subunit ribosomal RNA
Source: RNAcentral